RNAcentral lists this ribosomal RNA (333 nucleotides) under Gephyromantis luteus. Its description in RNAcentral is "partial large subunit ribosomal RNA". It matches the Rfam family "Bacterial large subunit ribosomal RNA", at positions 2183 to 2597 of the family's 2925-position model. Lineage: Eukaryota; Metazoa; Chordata; Amphibia; Anura; Mantellidae. The record is from RNAcentral.
GAGCUUUAAACCUAGCCACACCCAGAAUCUUUAUACCUAACUAUUAUCUGAACCCUGUAAGCUAGGCUUUAGGUUGGGGUGACCGCGGAGUAAAACAAAACCUCCGCAAUGAACGAAACUACCGUCUUAUCUAAGAAUAACCCCUCUAAGAAUUAGCACUCUAACAUAAAUGAUCCAAUUAUUGAUCAACGGACCAAGUUACCCUGGGGAUAACAGCGCAAUCCACUUCAAGAGCUCCUAUCGACAGGUGGGUUUACGACCUCGAUGUUGGAUCAGGGUAUCCCAGUGGUGUAGCAGCUACUAAUGGCUCGUUUGUUCAACGAUUAAAACCCU